UGGGGUGUAGUUAAGUGGUAAAACAUAUGCUUAGUAUGUAUGAGGCCCUGGGUUCAAUCCUCAGCACCAAAA
Molecule: non-coding RNA, 72 nt
Organism: Ictidomys tridecemlineatus (thirteen-lined ground squirrel)
Lineage: Eukaryota; Metazoa; Chordata; Mammalia; Rodentia; Sciuridae
Source: Rfam